GCAGUCGGGCACUGUCACACAGUGUGCUCGAGUGGACGUAGUCACGCAAAGGUGUCGUAACCAGCAGGCCGGCUUUCCUCCCCCAGAUCUCCCAUAUAUGGCUCCUGGUAGAAACCUCAGCCAUGGUCUACAGGAAGUUAAGGAUGUUUGCACGUGUGAUGGUGCGGGCAGUGAACCUGCGGGUGGUGGUCACGUGGUCGGUGGCGGCGACGCUGCUGGUGCUGGUGGGACUAGCCAUGAGACACAACAACAACCAGGUGGAAGGUAACUUUUUGAGGACCGCCGCCAGACCCCUUGACGCCCUUCAGCGUGUACCACCAGAGCCUCUGGCCGAGCCUCGCCAACAAGAUGUUGUGGAAGGUAAUAAUAACAGAGUUGGUAGUGGGAAGCGGUGUGAUAGUGAGAAGUGGGUGGAAGGUUUACCGCCACUCUAUAUUAUCACCCCUACCUACCCCAGGGCAGAGCAGGUGCCAGAGCUCACACGCACUGGCCAGACGCUCAUGCAUGUUAACAAUGUGGUAUGGAUUGUUUCCGAGGAUGCUGCCGUGGCUACUAAGGCUGUGGUCCAAUACCUUAACGAGUCAAUUCUCAACACUAUUUACCUCCGUGUUCAGAUGCCAGUAAAAUACAAAAAAGUAAAAAAUAAGCCACGAGGAGUAGCCAACCGUAUGGCAGGACUAAACUGGAUUCGUGAACACGCCAAGGAUGGAGUCUUGUAUUUUGCAGAUGAUGACAACACGUACGACAUUCGCAUCUUUCAGCAGAUGAGAUGGACUCGUAAAGUAUCAAUGUUUCCAGUCGGAUUGGUAACAAAACUUGGAGUUUCCACACCUAUUGUCAAAGAAGGAAAAGUGGUUGGUUUCUAUGAUGGCUGGAUAGCCAAGCGAAAGUUCCCUGUGGACAUGGCUGGGUUUGCUGUUAAUGUGCAAUACCUUUUGGAGAGACCCUUAGCUUCUAUGCCCUAUAAAGUUGGCUAUGAAGAAGAUGGCUUUAUGAAGAGUCUGGGUAUUAAAGCAUCAGAAAUAGAGCCACUUGCAUUUAACUGCACAAAGCAUUCCCUCGGGCAAGAUGUGCUUUUUUAGCACAGGGUUUUGACAUGAAGAAUGGCCAGUUCAGUACACACCAUAAACAAGGACCACUGACAAGGGAGGUUGCAAGAGACCAUGCAGCAUGGAGAGCUGCCAUCAGAUAUGGGUGUGGCAUACACAGACAAAGAAGAAUGAACCUGCUAUACCAGUUAAUCGAACGAGAGCUACUUUUGGUUCUAACCUUGACAUCAUUAGUGAACAAUUGUGGAGGGGCACUGGAACUAAUUCAUAG
This 1320-nucleotide unclassified non-coding RNA is filed under the name Homarus americanus (American lobster). RNAcentral's name for it is "galactosylgalactosylxylosylprotein 3-beta- glucuronosyltransferase P-like, transcript variant X2". Lineage: Eukaryota; Metazoa; Arthropoda; Malacostraca; Decapoda; Nephropidae. The record is from RNAcentral.